This 1522-nucleotide ribosomal RNA is filed under the name metagenome. RNAcentral describes it as "bacterial SSU rRNA". It matches the Rfam family "Bacterial small subunit ribosomal RNA". The record is from RNAcentral.
AGAGUUUGAUCAUGGCUCAGAUUGAACGCUGGCGGCAGGCCUAACACAUGCAAGUCGAACGGUAACAGGAAACAGCUUGCUGUUUCGCUGACGAGUGGCGGACGGGUGAGUAAUGUCUGGGAAACUGCCUGAUGGAGGGGGAUAACUACUGGAAACGGUAGCUAAUACCGCAUAACGUCGCAAGACCAAAGAGGGGGACCUUCGGGCCUUUUGCCAUCAGAUGUGCCCAGAUGGGAUUAGCUAGUAGGUGGGGUAACGGCUCACCUAGGCGACGAUCCCUAGCUGGUCUGAGAGGAUGACCAGCCACACUGGAACUGAGACACGGUCCAGACUCCUACGGGAGGCAGCAGUGGGGAAUAUUGCACAAUGGGCGCAAGCCUGAUGCAGCCAUGCCGCGUGUAUGAAGAAGGCCUUCGGGUUGUAAAGUACUUUCAGCGGGGAGGAAGGGAGUAAAGUUAAUACCUUUGCUCAUUGACGUUACCCGCAGAAGAAGCACCGGCUAACUCCGUGCCAGCAGCCGCGGUAAUACGGAGGGUGCAAGCGUUAAUCGGAAUUACUGGGCGUAAAGCGCACGCAGGCGGUUUGUUAAGUCAGAUGUGAAAUCCCCGGGCUCAACCUGGGAACUGCAUCUGAUACUGGCAAGCUUGAGUCUCGUAGAGGGGGGUAGAAUUCCAGGUGUAGCGGUGAAAUGCGUAGAGAUCUGGAGGAAUACCGGUGGCGAAGGCGGCCCCCUGGACGAAGACUGACGCUCAGGUGCGAAAGCGUGGGGAGCAAACAGGAUUAGAUACCCUGGUAGUCCACGCCGUAAACGAUGUCGACUUGGAGGUUGUGCCCUUGAGGCGUGGCUUCCGGAGCUAACGCGUUAAGUCGACCGCCUGGGGAGUACGGCCGCAAGGUUAAAACUCAAAUGAAUUGACGGGGGCCCGCACAAGCGGUGGAGCAUGUGGUUUAAUUCGAUGCAACGCGAAGAACCUUACCUGGUCUUGACAUCCACGGAAGUUUUCAGAGAUGAGAAUGUGCCUUCGGGAACCGUGAGACAGGUGCUGCAUGGCUGUCGUCAGCUCGUGUUGUGAAAUGUUGGGUUAAGUCCCGCAACGAGCGCAACCCUUAUCCUUUGUUGCCAGCGGUCCGGCCGGGAACUCAAAGGAGACUGCCAGUGAUAAACUGGAGGAAGGUGGGGAUGACGUCAAGUCAUCAUGGCCCUUACGACCAGGGCUACACACGUGCUACAAUGGCGCAUACAAAGAGAAGCGACCUCGCGAGAGCAAGCGGACCUCAUAAAGUGCGUCGUAGUCCGGAUUGGAGUCUGCAACUCGACUCCAUGAAGUCGGAAUCGCUAGUAAUCGUGGAUCAGAAUGCCACGGUGAAUACGUUCCCGGGCCUUGUACACACCGCCCGUCACACCAUGGGAGUGGGUUGCAAAAGAAGUAGGUAGCUUAACCUUCGGGAGGGCGCUUACCACUUUGUGAUUCAUGACUGGGGUGAAGUCGUAACAAGGUAACCGUAGGGGAACCUGCGGUUG